GACCCGUAAUCCGGGUUGCGGACAGUGUCUGGUGGGUAGUUUGACUGGGGCGGUCUCCUCCUAAAGAGUAACGGAGGAGCACGAAGGUUGGCUAAUCCUGGUCGGACAUCAGGAGGUUAGUGCAAUGGCAUAAGCCAGCUUGACUGCGAGCGUGACGGCGCGAGCAGGUGCGAAAGCAGGUCAUAGUGAUCCGGUGGUUCUGAAUGGAAGGGCCAUCGCUCAACGGAUAAAAGGUACUCCGGGGAUAACAGGCUGAUACCGCCCAAGAGUUCAUAUCGACGGCGGUGUUUGGCACCUCGAUGUCGGCUCAUCACAUCCUGGGGCUGAAGUAGGUCCCAAGGGUAUGGCUGUUCGCCAUUUAAAGUGGUACGCGAGCUGGGUUUAGAACGUCGUGAGACAGUUCGGUCCCUAUCUGCCGUGGGCGCUGGAGAACUGAGGGGGGCUGCUCCUAGUACGAGAGGACCGGAGUGGACGCAUCACUGGUGUUCGGGUUGUCAUGCCAAUGGCACUGCCCGGUAGCUAAAUGCGGAAGAGAUAAGUGCUGAAAGCAUCUAAGCACGAAACUUGCCCCGAGAUGAGUUCUCCCUGACUCCUUGAGAGUCCUGAAGGAACGUUGAAGACGACGACGUUGAUAGGCCGGGUGUGUAAGCGCAGCGAUGCGUUGAGCUAACCGGUACUAAUGAACCGUGAGGCUUAACCUUACAACGCCGAAGGUGUUU
This 719-nucleotide ribosomal RNA is filed under the name Escherichia coli. RNAcentral's name for it is "partial 23S ribosomal RNA". It matches the Rfam family "Bacterial large subunit ribosomal RNA", at positions 2230 to 2925 of the family's 2925-position model. Lineage: Bacteria; Pseudomonadati; Pseudomonadota; Gammaproteobacteria; Enterobacterales; Enterobacteriaceae. The record is from RNAcentral.